GACGAACGCGGCGGCGUGCCUAAUACAUGCAAGUAGAACGCUGAAGAGAGGAGCUUGCUCUUCUUGGAUGAGUUGCGAACGGGUGAGUAACGCGUAGGUAACCUGCCUGGUAGCGGGGGAUAACUAUUGGAAACGAUAGCUAAUACCGCAUAAAAUUGAUUAUUGCAUGAUAAUUAAUUGAAAGAUGCAAUUGCAUCACUACCAGAUGGACCUGCGUUGUAUUAGCUAGUUGGUGAGGUAACGGCUCACCAAGGCGACGAUACAUAGCCGACCUGAGAGGGUGAUCGGCCACACUGGGACUGAGACACGGCCCAGACUCCUACGGGAGGCAGCAGUAGGGAAUCUUCGGCAAUGGGGGGAACCCUGACCGAGCAACGCCGCGUGAGUGAAGAAGGUUUUCGGAUCGUAAAGCUCUGUUGUAAGAGAAGAACGGGUGUGAGAG
Molecule: ribosomal RNA, 442 nt
Filed under: Streptococcus sanguinis
Lineage: Bacteria; Bacillati; Bacillota; Bacilli; Lactobacillales; Streptococcaceae
Description: bacterial SSU rRNA
Rfam family: Bacterial small subunit ribosomal RNA
Source: RNAcentral